Periophthalmus magnuspinnatus is the source of this 240-nucleotide long non-coding RNA. RefSeq lists it as uncharacterized. The record is from RefSeq and is a predicted model, not a curated record. The transcript is spliced from 3 exons. NCBI's taxonomy places the organism in Eukaryota, Metazoa, Chordata, Actinopteri, Gobiiformes, Gobiidae.
AACAUAGUGAAGCUCUGUGGGAUUAUACUGCUCUACAGCUCCCUGCUCCUUCUGGAAUGCUGGUUUAGAUCAACUUGUGUCAAGAAACAGGAACAGAGCCCAGAGGCAGCAGCACAUGUCAAUCGUGUCAUUGAAAAUCAAGAUUAAAACCAUUUGUGUUUAGUGUUUCCUGCUUAUGUUGUAUUUUAUCAGAUACCUGCAAAACAACAAAUACUAGAGCCGCUUUAUAUUGAAUAUUAA